GCUGCCUAAAGGAACCUCCUGCUCGGAGAAGCAGAGUCCUGACAGUGCCUGCUCUGUGGACUACUCCACCAGCUGCCUGUCCAGCCCCGAGCGGCCGGGUGAGGACUCAGAACCCACGGAGCCACUAAGUGUGGAUGGGAACUCAUCCGAACUGGACAUGGAGGACCUCGAUGAGGAAGACGAAGAGGGUGUGAGGAAGAGUGAGUCCAAGGCGUUAGAACCCCCAACCCCCGACCAGGAAGCCUUCCUCAAGAGACAUUUUGAAAACCUGACAGACCUCAGCCUCUCAGUGAGCCCACCUCCACCACCCCUAAACUCAACUGACAGUUUUAGUAUCUCGUCCAAGUUUUUGUCUCAGUGUUCUGCUGACUGCAAGGAGCCAGUUGCAUUCGCCGAAACCAGUAGCGCUGUGAGCGAGGAUGGCAGCAGAGUGGCAUGUGCCCUGGUCUCAGAGGUGCACCCCCUGGUGGAGGACAGGGUGCAGACCGGGCAGCAGGAGCCCCAGGGUUCUGAGAUGGGCUCAGACCUGCGUUUAACCCCACAGAGGAAGUGCGUCGUGGUGACUGACCCCAUGGCCCAAGCUUCUCGAGCUGCCUGUGCAGGCCUGCGCAAAGCCCAGUCCAUACACAACCUCUCCUCAGGGGGUAAGACAUCCUAAGGCAUCUACCAUCAGAAAUGAG
Molecule: long non-coding RNA, 680 nt
Organism: Electrophorus electricus (electric eel)
Lineage: Eukaryota; Metazoa; Chordata; Actinopteri; Gymnotiformes; Gymnotidae
Source: Ensembl